RNAcentral lists this ribosomal RNA (538 nucleotides) under uncultured bacterium. Its description in RNAcentral is "partial 16S ribosomal RNA". It matches the Rfam family "Bacterial small subunit ribosomal RNA", at positions 355 to 883 of the family's 1533-position model. The record is from RNAcentral.
UGAGGAAUAUUGCGCAAUGGGCGAAAGCCUGACGCAGCGACGCCGCGUGGAGGAUGAAGGUUUUCGGAUUGUAAACUCCUGUUAAGUGGGAAGAAACGACAAAAUAUAAUACAUUUUGUAACUGACGGUACCAUUAAAGAAAGCACCGGCUAACUUCGUGCCAGCAGCCGCGGUAAUACGAGGGGUGCAAGCGUUAUUCGAAAUUAUUGGGCGUAAAGGGUGCGUAGGCGGCGUAUUAAGUCAACUGUUAAAACCUCCAGCCUAACUGGAGAUCAGCAGUAGAUACUGGUAUGCUAGAGGAUGGAAGAGAGAAGUGGAAUUCUUGGAGUAGCGGUGGAAUGCGUAGAUCUCAAGAGGAACACCAAUGGCGAAGGCAGCUUCUUGGUCCAUAUCUGACGCUGAUGCACGAAAAGCGUGGGGAGCAAACAGGAUUAGAUACCCUGGUAGUCCACGCCGUAAACGAUGAUCACUAGAUGUUAAUUCUGCUUGCAGAAUUAGUGUCGUAGCUAACGCGAUAAGUGAUCCGCCUGGGGACUAC